Malus domestica (apple) is the source of this 3169-nucleotide non-coding RNA. Lineage: Eukaryota; Viridiplantae; Streptophyta; Magnoliopsida; Rosales; Rosaceae. The record is from RefSeq and is a predicted model, not a curated record.
ACAACAAUGCCAGCCGAAUGUGGCUGGGUUGGGGGGUAAUUCUCAAAAAUUCAGAGGGUGAUUUUGUCUUUUGAGGUCAAUUCCUCCCCCCUCGAUUUUGCUUUAUUUACAACAAAACCGUGGGAUAUGGGGCUGGGUUGGAACGUAGUUAUUAAAAGUUAGGAGGGUAAUUUUGUCCUGUGCAUUUGAGACGGAUUGGGGUGGGUUUGGGUUUGCUGUCAUUCAGUGAGGGUUUCGGGGAUGGGAGGCCAUGCCUCCGAUAGAGAGGGAGAGAGAGAGACAGAGCGAGAGAGAGGUGUGGGGAUCUCAGCGCCAUUGCUGCAGAUCCUCGAUUUCAUGAGUGGGAGAGGGGGGACAGUCAGAGAAAAGUAUGGGGGCCUGUAGUUAACGGGACACGAGUCUCAGGAGUAGAACCCAACCAGCUCUCAUCUCUCACUCUUCCUCUCUCUCCUACGCGAGCCCUCUCAUCUCUCACUCUUCCUGUUUCUGUCCUCCUCAAACCAUAGCAGCCACAGCUCCAUCUCUUCCGUUUCUCUCAUCCUAGAACAGAAGAAAUAUGGAAAAUCAGGGCUUUUUCAUUUGCUUCCACAGAUUUCUCGAGCUCCGGAUCGCUAGCCUCCAUAUGAAGGAAACGUUUAUCUUCUAAUUUUAGGGUUUUGUUUUGGGAGUUUGCAAACGCUUUCUGGGUCAGAAUUCAAAGAUUGUUGAGGAAUGGAUAUGGCUACGGCUUAGUUGUGAAUUAGUGGUGCAGCGGCAACUCCUAAGUUGCUAUUUAGUCAUGGCCUCCUGAGAUGAAAGAGCCAUGGGCGUGCAUGGCUGCUACUGUGUUUGCUUAGUGUGAGAGGCUGAUUUGCUUUUGGAAUUCUGGCCAAAUAGCCCCUUUAGACAAGAUAGUUGAAUUGAAGGAGAAAUAUAAGUUUCAUGUGUUAUUGGAUGAGAGUAACUCAUUUGGUGUGCUUGGAAAAUCUGGAAGAGGUAACUGAAUACUGUAGGAUUCCGGUUGAAAAAAUAGAUAUUAUUACUGGUGCAAUGGGACACGCAUUAGCCACAGAAGGAGGAUUUUGCACUGGAAGUGCUAGAGUCACCAAUCACCAACGAUUGAGUAGCUCUGGGUACGUCUUUUCUGCUUCUUUGCCCCCAUAUUUUGCGAGUGCUGCCAUUACUGCCAUUGAUAUCCUCGAGGAAAACCCUGGUCUGAUAACAAAGCUGAAGAAAAAUAUUGCCAUAUUAUGGAAAGGAUUGUCAGCUAUACAGGGCCUCUCAUUCGCUAGCAGUCCAGAAUCCUGAAUUGUCUUCCUCAGACUACAGAAAGCAGAUUCUGUGAAUCCUUUUCUGUCCUUUUCUGCCUCUCUACUUUUAAUUGUAAUGGUUGUGGUUAUGCAGUUGUUGAAAGAGCAUUCCAUCUUUGUGGUUGCCUCCAAAAAGUCAUCGCUUGAUAAAUGUCAUCUUCCAUUAGGAAUUAGAUUGUUCGUCUCCGCUGGCCAUAUGUAAUCCGAUCUGUUCAAGGCAGCUGCAUCCAUGAAAGGUGUUGCAGAAUUGGUGCUAGAUUAUAUAACCAAGCAGAUUGUCAUUUUCUGAAGGCGUUUUCUAUAGAGGUUUAGUUGAACAUGGAGACAAUAACCGAUUGCUUGAAGGCAGGAAUGUCUGGUAUUGCUCACCUGCAAAAUGAUGUAAACUCGCGAUUUAUGGUGGUUUUGAAUGGGUGACUUGCUCUUAUAAAGUUCUGGAACAUAAACUGCUUUGGAGCCAGCAGCACUCAGUAGCCAGAACAACGGCCUUUCUCUCCCUUAUCGGAAAAGAGGUACUUUCAGGGUAAACAAGAAGCUAAAGCAUAAUCAAAGGAUUUGUCGACCUAUUGUGGAAGGGUCAAAAAAUUGCAUCAUUACAAAGCGUAGGCAUGGGACUUACAAAUGACUCCUUUCAAGUGGUCUGGGCAUUACAUAGAGAAAGGCAGCUAAAGCUUGCAUGGGUUAUCACUGGUGUCCUCGAAGCAUGCCAUUCUUUGGGUGUCAUGCAUUGGGACUUAAAGCCAGAGAUUUUCUAUUUGUCAACCAGAAAGAGGAUGCACCACUUAAGACAAUAGAUUUUGGGCUCUCUGUGUUCUUUAGACCAGAUUAAAAUGGUACGAUUCUGCUUGAUGAUCGUGGAAGCCAGCGAUUCUGCUUCUACAAAAAAUGCACCGAUGUCGUUCCAGAUCACUACUCCAAACCUCCCGCAAACUCCAAAGCAGGUUUAUGAUUUUUAUUUUUUUUUAAUAUUUCAUUUCCUCCUUUUUUUAAUUUUUGAAUUACAAGAAAAGUUUGAAUUUGAGGUUCGGAUUUGAAGAUUACUGCUGCUUAUAGUUUUUAUUUGGUAUUUCAUUGUUUAGCUUACGAUUGUCAUCAGUUUUCUUAGAUUGAUGGAAUGUUUUUAUAAGAUAUUGCUUUUAAAAGGUUAUUAUGUUAUAUAUAAAUAUACUUUAUACUGUAAUGAAAUUUUAUAUGAAUAAUAUUUCAAUCAGAGAGAUACACGAAGAUAAAGACAGGUUGAGCAAUAAAAGCUAUAAGCCACAAGCGAUCAAGUAGUGUAUUUUGUGUUUCCCUUCCUCCAUUGGUAUGGGUAUGCUCUCUGUCUCAGUGUUGUGGGGUGAAAAGUUAUUUGAAAAUAAUGGAAAGAACAUUUUCUGCAUCGUGAUUCUUUAAUUGUAUGAUAAUGUUUCCAAUGUUUUAGAUUACAUUGAUCUGUAUUAUUUUAAAGUAUAUAUGAAGAUUAGUUUAUAGGUGUAUGCACUUAAAUUGGAUAUAUGGUAUUUUUCAGAUUAUUUGACAUACAAUUGCAUAUAAUCUCAAUUUUUCUCAUGCAAUUUUUGUCUGAGCUUCGGAAUCGUUGAAUAGGAUAAUUCAUACUUGGAUAGCUACAUCAGCACAAUUGGAGUUGAAUUUAUUAAAUGUCUUAUUCAUGUGGUUAAGGCUGGUGCAUUCAAGUCCCGCAGCAACGCGCGGGCAUUUUAGCUAGUGUGAAACAAAAUACGUCACUAGAUGUGCUGCCCUAUUAUAUUCUGGAAGAGAAAAAUAAAAUCUUUUGACCUCAGUUGUUUUUAAAAAUUCUAGCUUAAAUAUUAAACUCUUUGGUUCAAAUUAUGUUUAUUACUGUCUUAAUACUUGUAAAAUAUGGGACAUAUCAGACGACU